Molecule: ribosomal RNA, 392 nt
Filed under: uncultured delta proteobacterium
Lineage: Bacteria; Deltaproteobacteria
Description: bacterial SSU rRNA
Rfam family: Bacterial small subunit ribosomal RNA
Source: RNAcentral
AAUGGACGCAAGUCUGACCCAGCGAUGCCGCGUGAAGGAUGAAGGCCUUAGGGUUGUAAACUUCUGUCAGCAGGGAAGAUAAUGACGGUACCUGCAGAGGAAGCCCCGGCUAACUCCGUGCCAGCAGCCGCGGUAAUACGGAGGGGGCAAACGUUACUCGGAUUUACUGGGCGUAAAGGGUCCGUAGGCGGUUCUUUAAGUUAGAUGUGAAAGCUUGAAGCUUAACUUCAAAAUUGCAUCUAAAACUGGAGAACUAGGUUCUUGGAGAGGUUGAUGGAAUUACCGGUGUAGCGGUGAAAUGCGUAGAUAUCGGUAGGAACACCAGUGGCGAAAGCGAUCAACUGGCCAAGUAAUGACGCUGAGGGACGAAAGCGUGGGUAGCAAACAGGAUU